UCUUCACGUGUCCGAACCAUCUCAAUCGGGCUUCCCGCAUCUUGCACUCCACUGGUGUCACACCCACCUUCUCCCGGAUUUUCUCAUUCCGAACUCUAUCCCCUCUAGUCAGCCCACACAUCCAGCGCAACAUCCGCAUUUCUGUCACCCUCAUCUUUUGGAUGUGGGAGUUCUUCACUGGCCAACACUCCGCUCCAUACAACAUGGCCGGACGGACUACCGCCCUGUAGAAUUUGCCUUUAAGCUUAGGCGGCACCUUCUUAUCACACAGCACCCCCGACGCG
This 284-nucleotide long non-coding RNA is filed under the name Capsicum annuum. Its description in RNAcentral is "long non-coding RNA (CANN_LNC002282)". The record is from RNAcentral. Lineage: Eukaryota; Viridiplantae; Streptophyta; Magnoliopsida; Solanales; Solanaceae.